GAUACGUAGCCGACCUGAGAGGGUGAUCGGCCACACUGGAACUGAGACACGGUCCAGACUCCUACGGGAGGCAGCAGUAGGGAAUCUUCCGCAAUGGGCGAAAGCCUGACGGAGCAACGCCGCGUGAGUGAUGAAGGUCUUCGGAUCGUAAAACUCUGUUAUUAGGGAAGAACAAGGAUGUAAGUAACUAUGCAUCCCUUGACGGUACCUAAUCAGAAAGCCACGGCUAACUACGUGCCAGCAGCCGCGGUAAUACGUAGGUGGCAAGCGUUAUCCGGAAUUAUUGGGCGUAAAGCGCGCGUAGGCGGUUUUUUAAGUCUGAUGUGAAAGCCCACGGCUCAACCGUGGAGGGUCAUUGGAAACUGGAAAACUUGAGUGCAGAAGAGGAAAGUGGAAUUCCAUGUGUAGCGGUGAAAUGCGCAGAGAUAUGGAGGAACACCAGUGGCGAAGGCGACUUUCUGGUCUGCAACUGACGCUGAUGUGCGAAAGC
This 490-nucleotide ribosomal RNA is filed under the name uncultured Staphylococcus sp. RNAcentral describes it as "bacterial SSU rRNA". It matches the Rfam family "Bacterial small subunit ribosomal RNA", at positions 278 to 760 of the family's 1533-position model. Lineage: Bacteria; Bacillati; Bacillota; Bacilli; Caryophanales; Staphylococcaceae. The record is from RNAcentral.